AUACGUAGGGGGCGAGCGUUGUCCGGAAUUACUGGGCGUAAAGGGUGCGUAGGCGGCUUUUUAAGUUGGAUGUGAAAUACCCGAGCUUAACUUGGGGGGUGCAUUCAAAACUGGAGAGCUAGAGUUCAGGAGAGGGAAGCGGAAUUCCUAGUGUAGCGGUGAAAUGCGUAGAUAUUAGGAGGAACACCAGUGGCGAAGGCGGCUUUCUGGACUGACACUGACGCUGAGGCACGAAAGCGUGGGGAGC
This 247-nucleotide ribosomal RNA is filed under the name uncultured bacterium. RNAcentral's name for it is "partial 16S ribosomal RNA". It matches the Rfam family "Bacterial small subunit ribosomal RNA", at positions 523 to 769 of the family's 1533-position model. The record is from RNAcentral.